This 301-nucleotide ribosomal RNA is filed under the name uncultured bacterium. Its description in RNAcentral is "partial 16S ribosomal RNA". It matches the Rfam family "Archaeal small subunit ribosomal RNA", at positions 459 to 759 of the family's 1478-position model. The record is from RNAcentral.
CAGUAGCCGCGGGAAUACCAGCAGCCCAAGUGGUGGUCGCGAUUAUUGGGCCUAAAGCGCUCGUAGCCGGGCCGGUAAGUCCCUUGUGAAAUCGGACGGCCUAACCGUUCGGCGUGCAAGGGAUACUGACGGUCUUGAGGCCGGGAGACGUCCGAGGUACUCCGGGGGUAGCGGUGAAAUGUUCUGAUCCUCGGGGGACCACCGGUGGCGAAGGCGUUCGACGAGAACGGGCCUGACGGUGAGGGGCGAAGGCUAGGGGAGCAAACGGGAUUAGAUACCCCCGUAGCCCUGUCUCUUAUAC